Molecule: long non-coding RNA, 2083 nt
Organism: Bos grunniens (domestic yak)
Lineage: Eukaryota; Metazoa; Chordata; Mammalia; Artiodactyla; Bovidae
Source: Ensembl
AUGAAAAUAAUGGAUCACUUUGAGGAGAAUUUUCCACAGUUUAUUGUGAUCCACACAAUCAAAGGCAUUGGCAUAGUUAAUAAAGCAGAAAUGGAUGUUUUUCUGGAACUCUCUUGCUUUUUCGAUGAUCCAGUGGAUGUUGGCAAUUUGACCUCUGGUUCCUCUGCCUUUUCUAAAACCAGCUUGAACAUCUGGAAGUUCACGGUUCACAUACUGCUGAAGCCUGGCUUGGAGAAUUUUGAGCAUUACUUUACUAGCAUGUGAGAUGAGUAAAUUGUGUGGUAGUUCGAGCAUUCUUUGGCAUUUCCUUUCUUUGGGAUUGGAAUGAAAACUGACCUUUUCCAGUCCUGUGUCCACUGCUGAGUUUUCCAAAUUUGCCGACAUACUGAGGGCAGCACCUUCACAGCAUCUCACAGCAGCACUAUUCACAAUAGCCAAGACAUGGAAGGAACCUAAGUGUCCAUCAACAGAUGCAUGAAUAAGGAUGUUGUGUGUAUACACAACACCAUGAAAGAGAAUGAAAUAAUGCCAUCUGCAGAAACAUGGAUGGACCUAGAGAUUAUCAUACUAAGUGAAGUAAGUCAAAGACAAAUAUCAUACAAUAUCACGAAUAUGUGGAAUUUUUAAAAAAUGAUACAAAUGAACUUUUUAUGGAACAUGAAAAGACUCACAGACAUAGAAAGCAAGCUUAAGGUGUGUUGUUCAGUCACUAAGUCAUGUCCGACGUUUCUUGACCCAUGGACUGCAGCAUGCCAGGCUUCCCUGUCCUUCACUAUCUCCUGGAGUUUGCUCAAACUCAUGUCCAUUGAGUAGGUGAUGCCACCCAACCAUCUCAUCCUCUGCCACCCACUUCUUCUCCUGCCCUCAAUCUUUCCUAGCAUCAGGGUCCUUGGUAAAUUAUGGUUACCAAAGGGGAAAGGAAGGAGCAGAAUAAAUCAGGGGCUUGUGAUUAUAAGAUUUUAUAUAUAUAUACACUACUAUAUAUGGAGUAGAUAACCAACAAGGACCUACUAUAUAGCACAGGGAGCUAUACUCAAUAUCUUAUAAUAAACUAAAAUGGAAAAGAAUCUUAAAAAGAACAUGUAUGUGUGUAUGUAUAACUGAAUUAUUUUUCUGUACACCUGAAAUGAACAAAACAUUGUCAAUAAAUUUUGUUUGAAAGAAAGACAUUUGGGAGGAAUGAGAUACAAAACGAGUAUAGACAGCAGUUCUCUGGAAGUUGUACUAUCUUCUCCCUAUCUCCCAUUAUGUGGUCUCAUGCACUCCUCUCUGGGGCCCACUGUCUAAGAAUAAGGAGCUAGGCUUGUGCUGAACUGACUCCUGGCACAUCAGACAAAGUUCCCAUGGUCCCUCCCUGGCCCAUCUCCCCAGCCUCCUGAGCCUAUGCUUUAGAGCCCUCGAGCCACAAUUAAUGAGCCCUUGUGCCACAGCCACUGAAGCCCCCAUGUCCUAGAGCCAGCAAAUUGCAACUAGUGAUCCUGUGAACUGCAGCCACUGAAGCCCAUGUGCCUAGAGCCUGUGCUCUGCAAAAGAAGCCACUGCAAUCAGAAGCCCACAUAUGGCAACAAAGAGUAGUCCCCACUGCAGCAACCAGAGAAAGCAUGGGCAAAGCAACGAAGACCCAGAACAGCUGAAAAUAAAUUAAAAAAUUUUUAAUAAAAUGAAAUAGACUCAUAGAAAUGGAGAGUAAAAUAUUGACUUCCAUGGGCUGGGGAGAGAGGAAAAUGGAGAAUUGUUGCUUAAUGGGUAUAGUUUCAGUUACAGAAGAUGAAUAAUUCUAGAGAUACACUAUACAGCAUGAUGUCUUUAGUUAACUACACUGUACGAUGUACUUCAAAAUGUUAAGAAGACAGAUAAGAUGUUAAGUGUUCUUGCUGCUGCUGCUGCUGCUAAGUCGCUUCAGUCGUGUCCGACUCUGUGCAACCCCAUAGACGGCAGCCCACCAGGUUCCCCCGUCCCUGGGAUUCUCCAGGCAAGAACACUGGAGUGGGUUGCCAUUUCCUUCUCCAAUGUGUGAAAGUGAAAAGUGAAAGUGAAGUUGCUCAGCCUUGUCCGACUCUUCAUGACCCCACCAGUAUAUAAU